RNAcentral lists this ribosomal RNA (275 nucleotides) under unidentified marine bacterioplankton. Its description in RNAcentral is "partial 16S ribosomal RNA". It matches the Rfam family "Bacterial small subunit ribosomal RNA", at positions 48 to 339 of the family's 1533-position model. The record is from RNAcentral.
UUUACACAUGCAAGUCGAACGGCAGCGCGGACUUCGGUCUGGCGGCGAGUGGCGAACGGGUGAGUAACGCGUAGGAACCUACCAAGUAGUGGGGGAUAACAGCUGGAAACGGCUGCUAAUACCGCAUACGCCCUUCGGGGGAAAGAUUUAUCGCUAUUUGAGGGUCCUGCGUUCGAUUAGCUUGUUGGCGGGGUAACGGCCCACCAAGGCGACGAUCGAUAGCUGGUCUGAGAGGAUGAUCAGCCACACUGGGACUGAGACACGGCCCAGACUCC